RNAcentral lists this ribosomal RNA (495 nucleotides) under uncultured bacterium. Its description in RNAcentral is "partial 16S ribosomal RNA". It matches the Rfam family "Bacterial small subunit ribosomal RNA", at positions 28 to 507 of the family's 1533-position model. The record is from RNAcentral.
GAUGAACGCUGGCGGCGUGCCUAAUACAUGCAAGUAGAACGCUGAAGGAGGAGCUUGCUCUUCUGGAUGAGUUGCGCACGGGUGAGUAACGCGUAGGUAACCUGCCUGGUAGCGGGGGAUAACUAUUGGAAACGAUAGCUAAUACCGCAUGACAACAGUUAUUGCAUGAUAACUGUUUAAAAGGGGCAACUGCUCCACUACCAGAUGGACUUGCGUUGUAUUAGCUAGUUGGUGAGGUAACGGCUCACCAAGGCGACGAUACAUAGCCAGCCUGAGGGGGAUGACGGCCAACCUGGGACAGAGACUCGUCCCAGACUCCUGCAGGGAGCAGCAGUAGGGAAUCCUCGGCGAUGGACGGGAAGCUGACCGAGCGACGCCGCGGGAGUGAAGAAGGUGUUCGGAUGGGAAAACUCUGUUGUAAGAGGAGGACGAGUGUGAGAGUGGAAGGAUCGCACAGUGACGGUACCUGACCAAAAAGCGACGGCUAACUACGUG